GGGCCCGCACAAGCAGUGGAUUAUGUGGUUUAAUUCGACGCAACGCGAAGAACCUUACCAGGACUUGACAUCCAACUAACGAAGUAGAGAUACAUUAGGUGCCCUUCGGGGAAAGUUGAGACAGGUGGUGCAUGGUUGUCGUCAGCUCGUGUCGUGAGAUGUUGGGUUAAGUCCCGCAACGAGCGCAACCCCUAUUGUUAGUUGCUACGCAAGAGCACUCUAGCGAGACUGCCGUUGACAAAACGGAGGAAGGCGGGGACGACGUCAAAUCAUCAUGCCCCUUAUGUCCUGGGCUACACACGUAAUACAAUGGCCGUCAACAAUGGGAAGCAAAACCGCGAGGUAGAGCAAAUCCCCAAAAACGGUCUCAGUUCGGAUUGCAGGCUGCAACUCGCCUGCAUGAAGCUGGAAUUGCUAGUAAUCGUGGAUCAGCAUGCCACGGUGAAUACGUUCCCGGGCCUU
This 462-nucleotide ribosomal RNA is filed under the name uncultured bacterium. RNAcentral's name for it is "bacterial SSU rRNA". It matches the Rfam family "Bacterial small subunit ribosomal RNA", at positions 917 to 1382 of the family's 1533-position model. The record is from RNAcentral.